UACGUAGGGCGCAAGCGUUGUCCGGAAUUAUUGGGCGUAAAGAGCUCGUAGGCGGCCAGUUGCGUCUGCUGUGAAAUCCCGGGGCUCAACCCCGGGCGUGCAGUGGAUACGGGCUGGCUAGAGGCAGGCAGGGGAGAACGGAAUUCCCGGUGUAGAGGUGAAAUGCGCAGAUAUCGGGAGGAACACCGGUGGCGAAGGCGGUUCUCUGGGCCUGUACUGACGCUGAGGAGCGAAAGCGUGGGGAGCGAACAGG
Molecule: ribosomal RNA, 253 nt
Filed under: uncultured bacterium
Lineage: Bacteria
Description: partial 16S ribosomal RNA
Rfam family: Bacterial small subunit ribosomal RNA
Source: RNAcentral